AGUGAACGCUGGCGGUAGGCCUAACACAUGCAAGUCGAACGGCAGCACAGUAAGAGCUUGCUCUUACGGGUGGCGAGUGGCGGACGGGUGAGGAAUACAUCGGAAUCUACUUUUUCGUGGGGGAUAACGUAGGGAAACUUACGCUAAUACCGCAUACGACCUACGGGUGAAAGCAGGGGAUCUUCGGACCUUGCGCGAGUGAAUGAGCCGAUGUCGGAUUAGCUAGUUGGCGGGGUAAAGGCGCACCAAGGCGACGAUCCGUAGCUGGUCUGAGAGGAUGAUCAGCCACACUGGAACUGAGACACGGUCCAGACUCCUACGGGAGGCAGCAGUGGGGAAUAUUGGACAAUGGGCGCAAGCCUGAUCCAGCCAUACCGCGUGGGUGAAGAAGGCCUUCGGGUUGUAAAGCCCUUUUGUUGGGAAAGAAAAGCAGCAGGUUAAUACCCCGCUGUUCUGACGGUACCCAAAGAAUAAGCACCGGCUAACUUCGUG
This 492-nucleotide ribosomal RNA is filed under the name uncultured bacterium. RNAcentral describes it as "partial 16S ribosomal RNA". It matches the Rfam family "Bacterial small subunit ribosomal RNA", at positions 29 to 507 of the family's 1533-position model. The record is from RNAcentral.